GACGAACGCUGGCGGCGUGCCUAAUACAUGCCAGUCGAACGCAUUUUCUUUCACCGUAGCUUGCUACACCGAAAGAAAAUGAGUGGCGAACGGGUGAGUAACACGUGGGUAACCUGCCCAUCAGCGGGGGAUAACACUUGGAAACAGGUGCUAAUACCGCAUAAUUCCAUUUACCGCAUGGUAAAUGGAUGAAAGGCGCUUUUGCGUCACUGAUGGAUGGACCCGCGGUGCAUUAGCUAGUUGGUGGGGUAACGGCCUACCAAGGCUGCGAUGCAUAGCCGACCUGAGAGGGUGAUCGGCCACACUGGGACUGAGACACGGCCCAGACUCCUACGGGAGGCAGCAGUAGGGAAUCUUCGGCAAUGGACGCAAGUCUGACCGAGCAACGCCGCGUGAGUGAAGAAGGGUUUCGGAUCGUAAAACUCUGUUGUUAGAGAAGAACAAGGAUGAGAGUGGAAAGUUCAUCCCUUGACGGUAUCUAACCAGAAAGCCACGGCUAACUACGUG
Molecule: ribosomal RNA, 507 nt
Filed under: uncultured bacterium
Lineage: Bacteria
Description: partial 16S ribosomal RNA
Rfam family: Bacterial small subunit ribosomal RNA
Source: RNAcentral